AUACUUACCUGGCAGGGGAGAUACCAUGAUCACGAAGGUGGUUUUCCCAGGGCGAGGCUUAUCCAUUGCACUCCGGAUGUGCUGACCCCUGCGAUUUCCCCAAAUGUGGGAAACUCGACUGCAUAANNN
RNAcentral lists this small nuclear RNA (129 nucleotides) under Mandrillus leucophaeus (drill). Its description in RNAcentral is "U1 spliceosomal RNA (ENSMLEG00000027070.1)". It matches the Rfam family "U1 spliceosomal RNA". Rfam says of the family: U1 is a small nuclear RNA (snRNA) component of the spliceosome (involved in pre-mRNA splicing). Its 5' end forms complementary base pairs with the 5' splice junction, thus defining the 5' donor site of an intron. There are significant differences in sequence and secondary structure between metazoan and yeast U1 snRNAs, the latter being much longer (568 nucleotides as compared to 164 nucleotides in human). The record is from Rfam by way of RNAcentral. Lineage: Eukaryota; Metazoa; Chordata; Mammalia; Primates; Cercopithecidae.